RNAcentral lists this unclassified non-coding RNA (395 nucleotides) under Hevea brasiliensis (rubber tree). The record is from RNAcentral. Lineage: Eukaryota; Viridiplantae; Streptophyta; Magnoliopsida; Malpighiales; Euphorbiaceae.
UUUAUACAGAUCAAGUUGCUGAAAAUCUUGGCGUUGCUAGGAAGUGGUGACAAGCAAGCAAGUGAGCACAUGUAUACUGUUGUGGGUGACAUAUUUAGGAAGUGUGAUUCAUCAAGUAACAUAGGAAAUGCUGUACUUUAUGAAUGUAUAUCCUGUGUCUCUGCUAUAUAUCCCAAUGCUAAACUGCUAGAAGCUGCAGCAGAUGUAAUAGCAAGAUUCUUGAAGAGUGAUAGUCAUAAUUUGAAAUACAUGGGCAUAGAUGCCCUUGGUCGAUUGAUAAAAUUAAGUCCAGAGGUUGCUGAACAACAUCAAUUGGCUGUGAUAGACUGCUUAGAGGAUCCAGAUGAUACUCUAAAGCGAAAAACCUUUGAAUUGCUGUAUAAGAUGACAAAGUC